Acinetobacter tandoii is the source of this 85-nucleotide non-coding RNA. NCBI's taxonomy places the organism in Bacteria, Pseudomonadati, Pseudomonadota, Gammaproteobacteria, Moraxellales, Moraxellaceae. The record is from Rfam.
CGUUGCGGUAGGACGGGAGAGGGACACCUGCGGGUGUGCUGGAGUCGAAACCAGUCUGCUAACCCUCUUUCGUUCUGCCACCAUA